This 160-nucleotide ribosomal RNA is filed under the name uncultured bacterium. RNAcentral's name for it is "partial 16S ribosomal RNA". It matches the Rfam family "Bacterial small subunit ribosomal RNA", at positions 338 to 514 of the family's 1533-position model. The record is from RNAcentral.
CCUACGGGAGGCAGCAGUGGGGAAUAUUGCACAAUGGGGGAAACCCUGAUGCAGCGACGCCGCGUUGGAGGAAGAAGGUCUUCGGAUUGUAAACUCCUGUUGUUGAGGAAGAUAAUGACGGUACUCAACAAGGAAGUGACGGCUAACUACGUGCCAGCAG